Melanotaenia boesemani (Boeseman's rainbowfish) is the source of this 223-nucleotide long non-coding RNA. RefSeq lists it as uncharacterized. NCBI's taxonomy places the organism in Eukaryota, Metazoa, Chordata, Actinopteri, Atheriniformes, Melanotaeniidae. The transcript has 3 exons. The record is from RefSeq and is a predicted model, not a curated record.
UUGAAAAUGAGCUACUUUGAAGAAUAAAUAGAAAAUUUCUGCAUUCUGAAAAAUGACUGUGCUUUAUGCAUACAAGUUGCAUACAGAAGGAAGUAAGCUGUGGUGGAAGACGCACAAGAUAUUUGUUCUGUUUUGUUUACAAAGCGUUAAUCUCAGUGUUUAAGGUUCUCUGAUCACUUGCUUUGUUGGGUGCCCUUCAGAUUUAUGAAGAUAUUCAUAAAAU